GAAUCAUUGAAAUGUUGAUAGCUCAUGGAAAAUUUACAUUCAUUGAUUCUGAAAAAUAAUUACAUCAGUCAACGCUCUAUUAUGUUUCCGCUCUUUCAGUGCUCUAUACACGUGACCUGAGUUCAUGUCAAGCAAUAUAUUAACGUAUUAACAUAACAAUAUCUCAUAAAGUACUUGUGAAUAUCUGGACAACAAUGAUUUUGGAGUUGCUUUUGUUCAUGGUCUGCACUUCAGCCUCUUAUCCCAUAUUUUUCAGAGUAUCUUGUCCUUUUUUUGAAGUAAACAGAGUAUCUUGUCCUCAACAGAGGUUAGUGCCACAAUUUUUUUUGCCUGACCUUUCUCCAAUUUUGAUUGCCUCAGCCGUUCACUCUACAAAUUAAAGAGAUUUAGAAGUAGAACUCUAAAAACAAAUGUCAAACAAUGAAUCUCAAGACUUAUUUUUUAGCAACAAUAAUCGCAAACUGGUAUGAUUUGACAGAGAUUGAGAUCAGCAUUAGGAUUAAACCCAGAUAAAGUGAUACAGAAUCCUAUUUAUUAGCAACAAACCUCAGUGCUGCAGCCUAACACAAUCUUACUGGGAAUAAACUGCAGAUGCUAGGAUUGAACAUAUGGACAAAUAAAGUAGUGCAUAUAAUUUCAUAAAAGCAAAGAUAGGUCAGGUAUCCAAUAGACCAAUACUCCAUCAACUGAAAGUAAAGUUCAGACUUGAGACAGAAGAAGUAACCAAAUGUUGUAUAAAUAAAGGCAGAAAACAGGAAUGUCAAGAACUGGAAAGGAGAAUGAAACACUGUUAGCGAUGUAUAUCGCAUAUGCAAUGCUUUGAUCCUGCUUUAAGUGGGUUGUAAAGUCCAUGCUUUAAGCAUUUAGAUAAACUCUCCACAAAUGGCUGCAGAAGAAAAAAAAAACCAUCGUUUAGUAUUCACCUUAAAUCUAUAAUCUGCACCAAACCUGCUGAGAGUCUCC
This 963-nucleotide long non-coding RNA is filed under the name Panicum hallii. Its description in RNAcentral is "long non-coding RNA (PHAL_LNC000871)". Lineage: Eukaryota; Viridiplantae; Streptophyta; Magnoliopsida; Poales; Poaceae. The record is from RNAcentral.